CGUUCAGCAAAACCCUUUUAGUUCUGCAACUGAACAAGUGAGAACAUUUUAUAAUGAGGUCUCUUUGCUACUUUUGUAACCAAAGCCCAUGAAUGAGUUCAUGACAGGCCUGCCACCCUUAUCACAUUCCCUUCAACAAGGCCUGGUACAACAGUCUGGCACAGGGCAUUACACUGGGAUUUGCACUUAGGGCCUUGAGAGCUGUCUGGAGUAAGCAGACUAUCGACUCUCCACCUACAAAGAAGCCGUACGCACAACUCUGUUCUACAAAACCUCUUUGUGUGAGUUCAACUGUGACCACAGGAUGGAUAAGGUACCAAAAAUUAAAAGCAAAGAUGCUUAAAUCAACUGCAGUCCUUCUGGGCAGAUGUUCCUAAAUGCAAUCCAUCUAAGAGGAAAGAGUUUUUGAGGGAAGGGUGAUCACUGGGCCUCUACAUGCCACACCCGGAAGGCCCAGCAGUGGGGCAAGGAUAGAACACACAGUUUGGCGAUGUGACCCUGCCUGUCUGCACACCUCAGGAUCCCACCACCCAACAGGCAUACAUCUCCUGGAGCUACAGAGAUGCCAAAUGCCAGAGAAGGGAAGCAGGAAGGGAGAUGAAGACAAGGAACUCUGAAAAAUGGAAGCAGAAACACAGGCUGUAUUUUCCCCUAUCCUUCUUUUCUUUGUUCCCUUUUUUCUCUUUUGAAUGAAAAAUAAAAAUGCAGAAAACCUCA
Molecule: long non-coding RNA, 717 nt
Organism: Homo sapiens (human)
Lineage: Eukaryota; Metazoa; Chordata; Mammalia; Primates; Hominidae
Exons: 3
Source: RefSeq, a predicted model, not a curated record